This 249-nucleotide ribosomal RNA is filed under the name uncultured bacterium. RNAcentral describes it as "partial 16S ribosomal RNA". It matches the Rfam family "Bacterial small subunit ribosomal RNA", at positions 524 to 775 of the family's 1533-position model. The record is from RNAcentral.
UACGAAGGGGCUAGCGUUGCUCGGAAUCACUGGGCGUAAAGCGCACGUAGGCGGAUCCUUAAGUCGGGGGUGAAAUCCUGGAGCUCAACUCCAGAACUGCCUUCGAUACUGAGGAUCUUGAGUCCGGGAGAGGUGAGUGGAACUGCGAGUGUAGAGGUGAAAUUCGUAGAUAUUCGCAAGAACACCAGUGGCGAAGGCGGCUCACUGGCCCGGUACUGACGCUGAGGCGCGAAAGCUAGGGAGCAACGG